AGCGAACGCUGGCGGCAGGCUUAACACAUGCAAGUCGAGCGGGACCUUCGGGGUCAGCGGCGGAGGGGUGAGUAACGCGUGGGAAUGUGCCUUAUGGUCUGGAAUAAUCCUGGGAAACUAGGGCUAAUAUCGGAUACGCCCUUUUGGGGAAAGGUUUACUGCCGGAAGAUCGGCCCGCGUCUGAUUAGCUAGUUGGUGGGGUAACGGCCUACCAAGGCGACGAUCAGUAGCUGGUCUGAGAGAAUGAUCAGCCACACUGGGACUGAGACACAGCCCAGACUCCUACGGGAGGCAGCAGUGGGGAAUAUUGGACAAUGGGCGCAAGCCUGAUCCAGCCAUGCCGCGUGAGUGAUGAAGGCCUUAGGGUUGUAAAUCUCUUUUAUCCGGGACGAUAAUGACGGUACCGGAGGAAUAAGCCCCGGCUAACUUCGUG
This 433-nucleotide ribosomal RNA is filed under the name uncultured bacterium. RNAcentral's name for it is "partial 16S ribosomal RNA". It matches the Rfam family "Bacterial small subunit ribosomal RNA", at positions 29 to 507 of the family's 1533-position model. The record is from RNAcentral.